GAACUUACUCCUCUGUUUCUCCCUAAGGCCACCAAUAACUCAUGGCUCUUUCUUUUUUUGUUGCAUCCCCAGAAAUGCUCGCCGUUCACCCAGAAAAAUUCCUUCAAAACCUCCAUCAGCCAGUUGACUCCCUCCUCCCAAAAAGCAAUUGAAACACUAAACCUCUUUCUGUUAAUUGCUUAGUCACAGUCCCUCCACCUUCCUAGCCUCACUUACAAUGACUCAAAUUUGAUUAAAUCAAAUUGGUUUUAAGCCAGUCAACAAAAGGCUUCAAAGUCCUUGAUCUACAGGUUGACCUUAUGAUGAUGGUCCUUGGUGGGUAGCUCAAUUGGAAACCUUGGUUUUUGGAUCUAGUGUUAGUGUCACUUGUUGCAGUCAGGAGGGGUGGUUUCUGGCAAAGCAGCGGCUCCAACAAUUUAAGCGGAGAGUGUUGUGGUUUCCGGUAAUGGUGACAACUGAAACUUGGUGGAAGACUUGGGUGGAGCCCUCUAAAGUUAGCAGAAUGAAUAAUCAACCUUUUGGCAGUGGUCAUAGAUCACGUUGCACUGUGGUGUUCUCUCUCUCUUAUUUAUUUUUGACAUUUGGCAGCUGAUUUAGGAUUUAGGACUUUCUAUU
This 615-nucleotide long non-coding RNA is filed under the name Carica papaya (papaya). RNAcentral's name for it is "long non-coding RNA (CPAP_LNC000184)". Lineage: Eukaryota; Viridiplantae; Streptophyta; Magnoliopsida; Brassicales; Caricaceae. The record is from RNAcentral.